GAUGAAGAACGUAGUGAAAUGCGAUAAGUAAUGUGAAUUGCAGAAUUCAGUGAAUCAUCGAAUCUUUGAACGCACAUUGCGCCCGCUAGUAUUCUGGCGGGCAUGCCUGUCCGAGCGUCAUUUCAACCCUCAAGCCCCCGGGCUUGGUGUUGGGGAUCGGCGAGCCUCCGCGCCCGCCGUCCCCUAAAUCUAGUGGCGGUCUCGCUGUAGCUUCCUCUGCGUAGUAGCACACCUCGCACUGGGAAACAGCGCGGCCACGCCGUUAAACCCCCAACUUCUGAACGUUUGACCUCGGAUCAGGUAGGAAUACCCGCUGAACUUAAGCAUAUCAAUAAGCGGAGGGA
This 344-nucleotide unclassified non-coding RNA is filed under the name soil metagenome. RNAcentral describes it as "partial contains 5.8S ribosomal RNA, internal transcribed spacer 2, and large subunit ribosomal RNA". The stretch from base 1 to 120 matches the Rfam family "5.8S ribosomal RNA", at positions 35 to 154 of the family's 154-position model. The record is from RNAcentral.